Molecule: unclassified non-coding RNA, 273 nt
Filed under: Hevea brasiliensis (rubber tree)
Lineage: Eukaryota; Viridiplantae; Streptophyta; Magnoliopsida; Malpighiales; Euphorbiaceae
Source: RNAcentral
GGGAAACACCACCAUUUCUAUUUCCUUUCAGCAAAUUUUCAAAUUUCCAUCACCGUUAUCCUCUCAAUCAGUCUGAAGAUGCUUGCAUUCAAGCCUGAAGACCAGUUACAGCUAGUUGAAAGAGAAGAGAUCGACGAUGAAGAAGACUUGUUUGAAGCUAUUGAUAAACUGAUCACUCAUGGAAUCAAUGCUGGGGACGUGAAGAAGCUGCAAGACGCUGGUAUCUACACCUGCAAUGGCUUGAUGAUGCACACAAAGAAGAACUUGACUGGG